RNAcentral lists this ribosomal RNA (497 nucleotides) under uncultured bacterium. RNAcentral describes it as "partial 16S ribosomal RNA". It matches the Rfam family "Bacterial small subunit ribosomal RNA", at positions 28 to 507 of the family's 1533-position model. The record is from RNAcentral.
GAUGAACGCUGGCGGCGUGCCUAAUACAUGCAAGUAGAACGCUGAAGGAAGGAGCUUGCUCUUUCCGGAUGAGUUGCGAACGGGUGAGUAACGCGUAGGUAACCUGCCUGGUAGCGGGGGAUAACUAUUGGAAACGAUAGCUAAUACCGCAUAACAGUAGAUAUUGCAUGAUAUCUGCUUGAAAGUGGCAAUUGCUCCACUACCAGAUGGACCUGCGUUGUAUUAGCUAGUUGGUGAGGUAACGGCUCACCAAGGCGACGAUACAUAGCCGACCUGAGAGGGUGAUCGGCCACACUGGGACUGAGACACGGCCCAGACUCCUACGGGAGGCAGCAGUAGGGAAUCUUCGGCAAUGGACGGAAGUCUGACCGAGCAACGCCGCGUGAGUGAAGAAGGUUUUCGGAUCGUAAAGCUCUGUUGUAAGAGAAGAACGAGUGUGAGAGUGGAAAGUUCACACUGUGACGGUAUCUUACCAGAAAGGGACGGCUAACUACGUG